GACGAACGCUGGCGGCGUGCUUAACACAUGCAAGUCGAACGAUGAAGCGCUGUCUUUUUGGUGGUGUGGAUUAGUGGCGAACGGGUGAGUAAUACGCGGGCAACCUGCCCCUUUGCUUCGGGAUAAGCUUUGGAGACGGGGUCUAAUACCGGAUGUGCCUGUCUGGUCGCAUGGCUGGGCGGGGAAAGAUGUUUUUCGGCGGGGGAUGGCCUCGCGGCCUAUCAACUUGGGGGUGGUGCGACUUACUAAUAUUGCUGCCUCGUGUUUCCCCUCUGCUACU
RNAcentral lists this ribosomal RNA (280 nucleotides) under uncultured Lactococcus sp. RNAcentral's name for it is "partial 16S ribosomal RNA". It matches the Rfam family "Bacterial small subunit ribosomal RNA", at positions 28 to 269 of the family's 1533-position model. The record is from RNAcentral. Lineage: Bacteria; Bacillati; Bacillota; Bacilli; Lactobacillales; Streptococcaceae.